This is a non-coding RNA of Oncorhynchus mykiss (rainbow trout), 2687 nucleotides long. The record is from RefSeq and is a predicted model, not a curated record. NCBI's taxonomy places the organism in Eukaryota, Metazoa, Chordata, Actinopteri, Salmoniformes, Salmonidae.
GAACGUUCCAACAGGAAUCCGUUCCAAAAACGUCGUAAAUAACAAGGUUGCCAACAAACAACGCAUACAAAGUUGUAUAGCGGCAGUGUAAAAUACCAGGUAGAGAGCGGGCAAUUUUGUUGAGUUUUUCACUCACCACGUUUAUUCCGAAAAAUGUCUGUCCUCACUCUGGUAGCCUAUGGACAAACAAUAAUAAGCUACGUGUUUCACCACGUUCUCCACCGGGGUCAGUGUCGCACCAGACGGCGGGCAUCAUCGGUCCCGGGAAUCUUCCGUUUCACCCCUGCCUUUACACAGGAACAGUGGGUUAACUGCCUUGUUCAGGGGCAGAACGACAGAUUUGUACCUUGUCAGCUCAGGAUUCGAUCUUGCAACCUUUCGGUAACUAGUCCAAUAAGGUAAGAUUUUUCAUGAAGUGCUUUGAGAGGCUAGUUAAGGAUCAUAUUAUCUCCACCUUACCCAACACCUUAGACCAGUGGGGUGGGGGGAUACAUUUGGGGAUAGAAAAAUGCAUUUUGUGUAAACUUAAACCGCUAAAACCGAUUUUAAAAAUAUAUAUAUAUUUUGUAAUAUAAUGGACAUUUUCCAAUAACAGCCCAUCAUUUUUCAGAAUUUACAAUCAACACAAUAAAAGCUAGACAAUAAGGCCCCCAUUGAUUUUGUUAAAAUGUUUGAGAAUAACACAGCAUUCGACAUGUCAAAAUGCGUAGAAUGCUGCCAAAUGUUCUCUACCUCAAGGCAAAAUGUAUAGAAUUGCAGAAAAUUGGCUUUAACAGUUUUAAACUUUAUUACAGCUCCAUGGCAGGAUGUGUGGAAUUGCAGGAGACUAGCUUUGAAACUGCAAAAAUGUAUCUUCGCUGCCAAGAUAACUUUUUUUUACUUAUUCUUUGGUCUGAAUGUUUUUUCACCACUCAACCCUUAUGGUGGGUCACGACUCAAAAUACCCCUCCCCUACACUAAUUACAAUUUGCAUACCGCCCCAAAAGAUCCAUGGAUAAUGCGAUCGCCAUUGCACUGCACACUGCCCUAUCCCAUCUGGACAAGAAGAAUACCUGUGUAAGAAUGCUGUUCAUCGGCUACAGUUAAGGCUUCUACGCCAUAAUGCCCUCCAAGCUCAUCACUAAGCUUGGGAAUCUUCGUCUGAAACCCGCCCUGUGCAACUGGGUCCUGGACUUGCUGACCCUCAACUGAUCCACAACACAGGAGCCCCACAAGGGGACGUGCUCAGCUCCCUCCUGUACUCAGCAUAGAGAGCACACCCCCAUCCACAUCGAUGAGGCCUUAGUGGAGAGGUUGAAAAGCUUCAUGUUCCUCAGCAUGCACAUCCCUGACAAUCUGAAAUGGUCCAUCCACACAGACAGUGUAGUGAAGAAAGUGCAACAGCGCUUGGCCCCUCAGACCCUGCACCGUUGAGAGCAUCUUGUCAGGCUGUAUCACCGCCUGGUACAGCAAUUGUACAUUCCUCAACCGUAGGGCUCUCCAGAGGGUGGUGCGGUCAGCCCAACGCAUCACCAGGGGCACACUUCCUACCCACCAGGACAUACAGUAUACAGCACCCAGUGUCACAGGAAGGCCAAGAAGAGUAUCAAGGACCUCCGCCACCGGAGCCACGGCCUGUUCACCACACUACCAUCUAGAAGGCAGAGACAGUACAGGUGCAUCAAAGCUUGGACCGAGAGACUGAAUAACAGUUUCUAUCUCAAGGCCAUCAGACUGUUAAAUAGUCAACACUAGCUGGCCUCCGACAAGUCUACUACCCUGAACUUAGUCACUGUUACUAGCCGGUUACCACCUGGUACUCAACCCUGCACCUUAGAGACUGCUGUCCUAUGUACAUAGUCAUUGAACACUGGUCACUUUAAUCAUCUUUACAUACUUUUUUUUACGCACAUCAUAUGUAUAUACUGUAUUCUAGUCGAGGCUCAUCUUAUAUAACUGCUGCUGUAAACAUAUUUUCUAUUCAUAUAUUGUCCAUAAUGUCUAUACACACCAUCAUAUACAAUAUGUGUGUAUGCGACCAAUACAUUUGAUAUGAUUUGAAUUGAAAACGCACAUAAUCUAACGCCUGCCUCAGACCACUCGUAGAACAGCUAAGUGCAUCGUUUGAUGCUUCGUUUUUUUGCCCUCCCUUGUCACUUUUAUACACAGAAGAGCUCUGCCAAACACAGAAUCAAUCACAUGGUUUAUCCACCUCUCUCUGACCUCCAAUAACUUCAAAACAAAGUUGCCAAUGUCUUUGCAAUAGAUACAAACCAGCAACGUAUAAAAUGAUGGUUCAUGCAAGACAACGUGAGUUAGCAAUAGCAUCACCUGCCCAUGUGGGAAAGCCUACAUAAGAUAAAUGACAAGACAAUUAAAACAACGCAUAGCUGAACACCGCAGCUCAAUCAGGUGUAAGAACACUGACUAUCCAGUAGCAGCUCACAUCCUAUCUCUUCCCUCAAAUACACAGGUAUCGAGCAUGUUCCCCUACCAAGGAGAGGAGGUAACAUUGAGACCCUACUACUACAGAGGGAGGCCUCCUGGUUAUCCUAACCAACAUUGACCCCUAGUGGUCUGAAUAUUGCCUUUGAUCUCAGGCCCUUCUUAUGAAUAAUUAUCUUUUAUUAACAAGUCUUAUAAAUGAAUAUAUUAUUUCUACAGCUUAUCAGCGUACACCCAAUAUGUUCCCCCUGUUGAUGAGGCUU